AUUGAACGCUGGCGGCAUGCCUAACACAUGCAAGUCGAGCGGAGCGGCGGACGGGCGAGUAAUGCCUAGGAAUCUGCCUGGUAGUGGGGGAUAACGUCCGGAUAGGCGCGCUAAUACCGCAUACUAGCAGAUGAGCCUAGGUCGGUUGAGCUAGUUGGUGGGGUAAAGGCCUACCAAGGCGACGAGCCCUAACUGGUUUGAGAGGAUGAUCAGUCACACUGGAACUGAGACAAGGUCCAGACUCCGACGGGAGGCAGCAGUGGGGAAUAUGGGACAAUGGGCGAAAGCCUGAUCCAGCCAUGCCGCGUGUGUGAAGAAGGUCUUCGGAUUGUAAAGCACUUUAAGUUGGGAGGCGUUACCAACAGAAGAAGCACCGGCUAACUCCGUGCCAGCAGCCGCGGUAAUAC
RNAcentral lists this ribosomal RNA (407 nucleotides) under uncultured bacterium. RNAcentral's name for it is "partial 16S ribosomal RNA". It matches the Rfam family "Bacterial small subunit ribosomal RNA", at positions 30 to 526 of the family's 1533-position model. The record is from RNAcentral.